GCCGCCCUCGGUCCCUCGCGAGGCCACGGAGGCCAACACGCCUCGCACGGGGGGACAGCGCGGGGGCAGCCGUCCAAACACCAGGCGUCCUCGGCUGGUCGUCCCAGGGCGCCCGCACCUCUCCGCCCGCGCUCUCCUGCCGCCGCGCCCCCAAGCCCCCAAACUCCGAGGCGCUGCGGCGGAGGGGCCGGGCUGAGCGCAGGCAGGGUGGCCCGGGCCCAGGAGCCUGACGGCCUGAGUGCGGAUUUCUCAUCUGAGUAUCUGGGAAUCGAGAAUGAAUUGGAAGGAAACCGAGGCGCUGCCCUGGCCAGGUUGCUGCCCCGCACCCUUCCGGAGCACCGAAGUCCUGCCCGGCAACGGGACUUGGAGCUGCCGCAGAGUCAGCCUGAGCCCGAGGCAGGGGUCGCGCCCGCGAUGCGGGGUCUCUGCGCCGCCCCGCGAGGCUCCUGGCCUUGCCCUCCCUGCCCUUUGUUGUGUAAUAAGACCUGUGGCGGCUCCACUGAGACCCACACGUGCAACUCCGCGCCUCCGCGUUAAAGGAGGUGAAACGCAGCAGCCCUGAGAAACCCCGAGACCCCGGUGUCCUAGCAGAGGCGCCCCGGAUGGGGAGGGGCGCGGGGCCGGCGCCACCCCAGAGGAAAAGCCCAGCGGAGCCGGGUUGGGCAGGAGCUGGCGGCGGCGGUGCGCUGGGCCUUCUGCCUUGGAUCCUCCGCGGUCGGCACCGCUUCCCUGCUCAGAUUCGAACCCAGAUUCGGCUCCCAAGGCUCCCACGGCUCCAGGGUGCCCAGUCUUGCAGCCAGCUCGCCGCCCGAGCCCCGGAUGGAGGAAGCGCUCACUGGCCGCUACCUCUGCUGUUUCUGGCACCAGAGAUUGAGACUGUGAACCUGAACUCCCUUGAUCUCCUCCCGUUGGGCCCAGGAGGGAGCCGAAUCCAGGCCCAACCGGGCUCACUGAGAAGGUGCAGGAAGCCCCCAACGACUCCUACUCGUGUGCGGCCCAUACUGGGCCAGGACGCUGCAGUGGCCGAGCCGCUGGGUGUCUGCAACGGGGAGCUCCCCCGCCGCUGGGGGCAAUAAACGGAAUCGGUUUC
RNAcentral lists this long non-coding RNA (1090 nucleotides) under Homo sapiens (human). RNAcentral's name for it is "long non-coding RNA NONHSAT151002.1". Lineage: Eukaryota; Metazoa; Chordata; Mammalia; Primates; Hominidae. The record is from RNAcentral.